This 253-nucleotide ribosomal RNA is filed under the name uncultured bacterium. RNAcentral's name for it is "partial 16S ribosomal RNA". It matches the Rfam family "Bacterial small subunit ribosomal RNA", at positions 524 to 776 of the family's 1533-position model. The record is from RNAcentral.
UACAGAGGUCUCAAGCGUUGUUCGGAUUCAUUGGGCGUAAAGGGUGCGUAGGCGGCGCGGUAAGUCGGGUGUGAAAUCUCGGGGCUUAACUCCGAAACUGCAUUCGAUACUGCCGUGCUUGAGGCCGGGAGAGGUGAGUGGAAUUCCCAGUGUAGCGGUGAAAUGCGUAGAUAUUGGGAGGAACACCAGUGGCGAAGGCGGCUCACUGGACCGGUUCUGACGCUGAGGCGCGAAAGCGUGGGGAGCAAACGGG